This 459-nucleotide ribosomal RNA is filed under the name uncultured bacterium. Its description in RNAcentral is "partial 16S ribosomal RNA". It matches the Rfam family "Bacterial small subunit ribosomal RNA", at positions 338 to 795 of the family's 1533-position model. The record is from RNAcentral.
CCUACGGGAGGCAGCAGUGAGGAAUAUUGGUCAAUGGCCGGAAGGCUGAACCAGCCAAGCCGCGUGAAGGACGAAGGUACAAAGCAUUGUAAACUUCUUUUGUCAAGGGACAAAAUCAGGCACGAGAGCCUGACCGAGGGUACUUGAAGAAAAAGCAUCGGCUAACUCCGUGCCAGCAGCCGCGGUAAUACGGAGGAUGCGAGCGUUCUCCGGAUUUAUUGGGUUUAAAGGGUGCGUAGGCGGACUGUUCAGUCAGCGGUAAAAGCCCGGGGCUCAACCCCGGCGCGCCGUUGAAACUGGCUGUCGUGAGUUGUAGAGAGGUAUGCGGAAUGCGCGGUGUAGCGGUGAAAUGCAUAGAUAUCGCGCAGAACUCCGAUUGCGAAGGCAGCAUACCGGCGGCGCUCUGACGCUGAGGCACGAAAGCGUGGGUAUCGAACAGGAUUAGAUACCCGAGUAGUC